AGUGAACGCUGGCGGUAGGCCUAACACAUGCAAGUCGAACUGCAGCACAGAGGAGCUUGCUCCUUGGGUGGCGAGUGGCGGACGGGUGAGGAGUACAUCGGAAUCUACUCUGUCGUGGGGGAUAACGUAGGGAAACUUACGCUAAUACCGCAUACGACCUACGGGUGAAAGCAGGGGACCUUCGGCCUUGCGCGAUUGAAUGGGCCGAUGUCGGCUUAGCUAGUUGGCGGGGUAAAGGCCCACCAAGGCGACGAUCCGUAGCUGGUCUGAAAGGAUGAUCAGCCACACUGAAACUGAUACACGGUCCAGACUUCUACGGGAGGCAGCAGUGGGGAAUAUUGGACAAUGGGCGCAAGCCUGAUGCAGCCAUACCGCGUGGGUGAAGUAGGCCUUCGGGUUGUAAAUCCCUUUUGUUGGGAAAGAAAUCCAUCUGGUUAAUACCCGGGUGGGAUGACGGUACCCAAAGAAUAAGCACCGGCUAACUUCGUGCCAGCCGCCGCCGUAA
This 505-nucleotide ribosomal RNA is filed under the name uncultured bacterium. Its description in RNAcentral is "partial 16S ribosomal RNA". It matches the Rfam family "Bacterial small subunit ribosomal RNA", at positions 29 to 523 of the family's 1533-position model. The record is from RNAcentral.